RNAcentral lists this ribosomal RNA (550 nucleotides) under Theloderma baibungense (Baibung small treefrog). Its description in RNAcentral is "partial large subunit ribosomal RNA". It matches the Rfam family "Bacterial large subunit ribosomal RNA", at positions 1857 to 2624 of the family's 2925-position model. The record is from RNAcentral. Lineage: Eukaryota; Metazoa; Chordata; Amphibia; Anura; Rhacophoridae.
GCCUGCCCAGUGGAUAUUAUUCAACGGCCGCGGUACCCUAACCGUGCGAAGGUAGCAUAAUCACUUGUCCUCUAAAUAAGGACUUGUAUCAACGGCACCACGAGGGUUGCACUGUCUCCUCCCUCUAAUCAGUGAAACUGAUCUCCCCGUGAAGAAGCGGGGAUAAAACUAUAAGACGAGAAGACCCCAUGGAGCUUCAAACUGAACAGCAACUUAAUUACUUAUUUCCCCAUAUAAUAAAGGUAUGCCUGUAAGUUUUGGGUUGGGGCGACCGCGGAGAACAAAAUAACCUCCACAGCGAAAAGAACUAAACCUUUAUCUAAGAGCCACCCCUCAAAGAAUUAGCACCCUAACGUAUAAUGACCCGAUUAUCGAUCAACGAACCAAGUUACCCUGGGGAUAACAGCGCAAUCUACUCCAAGAGCCCCUAUCGACGAGUAGGCUUACGACCUCGAUGUUGGAUCAGGGUAUCCCAGUGGUGCAGCCGCUACUAACGGUUCGUUUGUUCAACGAUUAAAACCCUACGUGAUCUGAGUCAAACCCGGAGAGG